AGGAUUAACGCUGGCGGCGUGCCUAACACAUGCAAGUCGAACGAGGUAGCAAUACCUAGUGGCAGACGGGUGAGUAACGCGUGGUCAACCUACCGUUGAGUGGGGGAUAACUAGCCGAAAGGUUAGCUAAUACCGCAUACGAGUCUCGGGGGCAUCCCUGGGCCUUAAAAGGAGCAAUCCGCUCGAUGACGGGACCGCGUCCCAUUAGCUAGAUGGUGGGGUAAUGGCCUACCAUGGCUCCGAUGGGUAGCUGGUUUGAGAGAGCGACCAGCCACACUGGGACUGAGAAACGGCCCAGACUCCUACGGGAGGCAGCAGUGAGGAUUUUCCGCAAUGGGCGAAAGCCUGACGGAGCGACGCCGCGUGUGGGAAGAAGGCCUUCGGGUCGUAAACCACUGUCGAGGGGACGAUAAUGACGGUACCCUUGGAGGAAGCCCGGCUAACUACGUGCCAGCAGCCGC
This 461-nucleotide ribosomal RNA is filed under the name uncultured bacterium. Its description in RNAcentral is "SSU rRNA". It matches the Rfam family "Bacterial small subunit ribosomal RNA", at positions 26 to 518 of the family's 1533-position model. The record is from RNAcentral.